GCAUAGGAAUCUGCCCGGUAGUGGGGGAUAACCUGGGGAAACCCAGGCUAAUACCGCAUACGCCCUACGGGGGAAAGCAGGGGAUCUUCGGACCUUGCGCUAUCGGAUGAGCCUAUGUCGGAUUAGCUAGUUGGUGAGGUAACGGCUCACCAAGGCUGCGAUCCGUAGCUGGUCUGAGAGGAUGAUCAGCCACAUCGGGACUGAGACACGGCCCGAACUCCUACGGGAGGCAGCAGUGGGGAAUAUUGGACAAUGGGCGAAAGCCUGAUCCAGCCAUGCCGCGUGUGUGAAGAAGGCCUUCGGGUUGUAAAGCACUUUCAGUGAGGAAGAAAGCCUUGAGGUUAAUACCCUYGAGGGAGGACAUCACUCACAGAAGAAGCACCGGCUAACUCCGUGCCAGCAGCCGCGGUAAUACGGAGGGUGCGAGCGUUAAUCGGAAUUACUGGGCGUAAAGCGCGCGUAGGCGGCUUGAUAAGCCGGUUGUGAAAGCCCCGGGCUCAACCUGGGAACGGCAUCCGGAACUG
This 524-nucleotide ribosomal RNA is filed under the name Halomonas nitroreducens. Its description in RNAcentral is "bacterial SSU rRNA". It matches the Rfam family "Bacterial small subunit ribosomal RNA", at positions 115 to 635 of the family's 1533-position model. Lineage: Bacteria; Pseudomonadati; Pseudomonadota; Gammaproteobacteria; Oceanospirillales; Halomonadaceae. The record is from RNAcentral.